CUCUCGAAAACUGAACAUUAUUUGUCUCCUUCUGGAUAUUUCCAUUCUACACUAAUCAACAAGAAUUGCUUUAUUUUUUUCGAAAGCGAUGUACAUUUGUACAUAAUAUAUAUAUUUUUUCCGCAUUUGUUUAUUGUAACCACAUAGCUUUAGAGCAGUAAUUAAAGCAUAAGAAAGAAUAUCGCUGAAGCACGAAAUUCUUAGACAUUAUAUGUGUGCAUAUUCAGAUUUGGUUAGUAUGUGCAGUAGUUUCCAGAACACAAGAGAAAAAUCCAUAUGUAUGUGCUUAACCGGCUUACCCACCUUUCUCACGAAAUGAGGGUAGUUUUUGUAGCACAGUGAUGUAGACACUCGUGAGAAACCGUAGGAGCACGUAUACGAUGUAUGUAUAUAGUGUACUCGCUCCAACCCCAAUGCCGCAGACCCGAGAGACAGGCAGAUUUUUCCCGAACCCAGCGGUUGGGUAUAAAUAGAGCCGCCUCAGUCCGGUCACGUCACUCUCAAAUGAAAAGUGUUCAAGUGCAUUCAAAGUGAAGCUGAAAAAAUAACCAGUUAAAAAUAGUACAAAGAAAUUUUCUUUCUUGCAAUUUGCAAGCAGUAGCUACAACCAAAAAUGGAAAAGUGUAAAAAUCGUGUCCCAGCAGACGAGCAGCAGCAGUACGAGUAUUGCAAAAUGCAGGGGCAAGGGCCCACGUAGUAUUUUUCCACGUCGGGCAUUUAAUGCUCUCGAGUUGGAAACAAUGAAACCAUACGCAAACCCCCUGGAAAAGAUGUGAUUAGUCAUCGAUUUUGCUGGUCAGCGUCGGGGAAUUUCGCAAUGCAGCAGGCAGUUUUCUCAAAUUUGGCUAGAAAGUGACCCACUAGGCAGUCUGAGGCAGUUAUCCAGGAUGUAAGGAUGUGUGCAGUACUCUCUGUGUCGAAUGGCGAUGGCCCUGACCUGCGGAUUUUGAAAGAUUGAAAUAGGAAGCCAGUUGGGCGUUGAAAGUUGAUAUCGAUAUCGAUCCGUGAAAAGUCGAUACCCUGCGCAAGCAUGGGGCGGCAUAUGGGUGCUGAAAACGCACUCGGCCCGAUCCCGAUUGCAGCGUUAUUCGAAAGCUGUGUCUGCGACCGUGACUGAGAUCAUAUGCGUACAUAUAUCUAAUGUCCGGGGUCGUAGGCCAGCCAGGGUGCUCGAUUCUGUCAGAUUGAUUGUGCGGAUUGUGUUAUAGGAACACUGGUGUAUCGACUUCUCUGCUCCACUAUGGGUGAAGGAUACCCUACCGAAAAGGCCUUCUGUCGCUUACUAUCAUCGAACAAGUUCCGUAAAGGGCAGACAUACGUACACGUGGCAGCAUAUUACGUUCAAUGACACAUCGUCUCUGGAUUAGUAGUUGAACCAACGAGCUCGAAUAUACCCUGCCAGUUGGUUGUAAAUAUUAAUUUUGUUCUUAUAUUCAGUUGUAAAGUCAAUACGGAAGACAUUUCCACACCAACCAUGUGUCACUUAUGUUCUUAAAUACCAGAAACUGUUUAAAUUUUUGUUCUUAUACACUUCACCAAUUAAGAAUUACCUGUACUGAUGUAAGUGUACCUGUUGAAUCACAACAAAAAUAGAAAAAAUGAAUAACAAAAGAGCUCUAUAACAGAAAAGCCACAGAAAAAGUGAAUAAAAAUUCAAAAAUUCAAAAAAU
This 1670-nucleotide long non-coding RNA is filed under the name Drosophila melanogaster (fruit fly). Its description in RNAcentral is "Heat shock RNA omega (Dmel_CR31400)". The stretch from base 1170 to 1256 matches the Rfam family "Heat shock gene hsromega conserved region 2". The record is from RNAcentral. Lineage: Eukaryota; Metazoa; Arthropoda; Insecta; Diptera; Drosophilidae.